This 443-nucleotide small RNA is filed under the name Pongo abelii (Sumatran orangutan). RNAcentral's name for it is "processed transcript". The record is from RNAcentral. Lineage: Eukaryota; Metazoa; Chordata; Mammalia; Primates; Hominidae.
UACUCACCAACCUUUAUUGAGUACGUUUAGAUACUGGGAUUAGAAGAUGAUGUCAUUAGACAUUUCUUUGGUUUUAGCUUCUGCGGGUUUGAUCAAGGAGUUUAUUCAGUAUUUUAAAUCUUCCCCCAAAUCUGGCUUAACUCUUUUCCUUAAGAGUGCUUUGUGUUUGUUUCUUUUACUUAGCCCUUUGAGGUGGACCUUUCUCACGUGUAUCUUGCCUAUACUGAGGAGAGUCUGCGUCAGUCUUUGAUGAAACUAGAAAGACCACGAACUUCAAAGGGGAAAGCAAGGCCAAAGACAGGGAGAAGAAAGCGUUCUGCAAAGCCUGAAACUGUAAUUGACUCUUUACUGCAGUAAAUGUUACAGACUUAAAGUCACAAUAAAAAUUAGUGAUAUUCUCAUGCCUGGACAAAAUCUUUAAUUAAAACAGUGAAGACUUCUCU